UUUCCGUAGGUGAACCUGCGGAGGGAUCAUUAUUGGAUUUUGAAACUUCGGGCUGCUGCUGGCUCUCCUCGGAGGGCAUGUGCACGCUUGUUGUCCAUUAUUUCUCCCACUGUGCACAAAUUGUAGACCUUUCAGUAGGCCUAUGUUGUUUUUCACGAUCUCUGAAUGUAAUAGAAUGGUUUUGAAUCUUGGGAAAUACAAUACAACUUUCAGCAACGGAUCUCUUGGCUCUCGCAUCGAUGAAGAACCAGC
Molecule: unclassified non-coding RNA, 252 nt
Filed under: plant metagenome
Description: partial contains small subunit ribosomal RNA, internal transcribed spacer 1, and 5.8S ribosomal RNA
Rfam family: 5.8S ribosomal RNA (bases 205-252)
Source: RNAcentral